RNAcentral lists this ribosomal RNA (301 nucleotides) under uncultured bacterium. Its description in RNAcentral is "partial 16S ribosomal RNA". It matches the Rfam family "Bacterial small subunit ribosomal RNA", at positions 509 to 809 of the family's 1533-position model. The record is from RNAcentral.
CAGCAGCCGCGGGAAUACGAAGGGUGCAAGCGUUAAUCGGAAUUACUGGGCGUAAAGCGUGUGUAGGUGGUCGUUUAAGUCUGUCGUGAAAGCCCUGGGCUCAACCUGGGAAUUGCGAUGGAUACUGGGCGACUAGAGUCCGGUAGAGGAUAGUGGAGUUUCCGGUGUAGCAGUGAAAUGCGUAGAGAUCGGAAGGAACAUCUGUGGCGAAGGCGACUAUCUGGGCCAACACUGACACUGAGACACGAAAGCGUGGGGAGCAAACAGGAUUAGAUACCCCUGUAGUCCCUGUCUCUUAUAA